This 345-nucleotide unclassified non-coding RNA is filed under the name soil metagenome. Its description in RNAcentral is "partial contains 5.8S ribosomal RNA, internal transcribed spacer 2, and large subunit ribosomal RNA". The stretch from base 1 to 120 matches the Rfam family "5.8S ribosomal RNA", at positions 35 to 154 of the family's 154-position model. The record is from RNAcentral.
GAUGAAGAACGUAGCGAAAUGCGAUACGUAAUGUAAAUUGCAGAAUUCAGUGAAUCAUCGAGUCUUUGAACGCACAUUGCGCCCCCUGGUAUUCCGGGGGGCAUGCCUGUCCGAGCGUCAUUGCUGCCCUCAAGCACGGCUUGUGUGUUGGGCCUCCGUCCUCCUCCCGGGGGACGGGCCCGAAAGGCAGCGGCGGCACCGCGUCCGGUCCUCGAGCGUAUGGGGCUUCGUCACCCGCUCUUGUAGGCCCGGCCGGCGCUUGCCGACACAUCAAUCUUUUUUCCAGGUUGACCUCGGAUCAGGUAGGGAUACCCGCUGAACUUAAGCAUAUCAAUAAGCGGAGGA